GGCCAGGCUAGUCUCAAACUCCUGGCCUCAAGUGAUUGGCCCGCUCUGGCCUCCCAAAGUGCUGGGAUUACAGGUGUGAACCACUGCGCCCGGACUCUUUAAUACUUUUUUUCAAAAUAGAUAAGGAGUUUUGCUGUGUUGCCCAGGCUGGUCUUGAACUCCUGGGCUCAAGCAGUUCUCCUGUCUCAACCACCCAAAGUGCUAGGAUUACAAGUGUGAACCACUGUGCCCAGGCAGAAUCUUUUUAAAAAACACUUCCCACUGUGUUCCUUAAUGGAGAACCUGCUACUGUUUUCAGAGUUUCUCAACCUUGGCACUAUUGACACUUAAGGCUACUGGAAACUGUCAAUGUGGGACUGUCCUGUACAUCUUAGGAUGUUUAGAAGCAUCACUGGCUUCUAACCACUAGAUGUCAGCAACACCUCCCCACCCAUACCUCCUGUUGCCUCAAGGAAAAAUGUCUGCAGUCGUUGCAAUAUGCCCUGGGAGGCAAACUCACCCAGCUGAGAACCACUGUGCAGAGCAGCCAGGCAGAUGUGCGCAAGUCACAUCACUCUCCUACCUCUUGCUAGACUUCCCAGUCGCCCUCAGGAGGAAUUCCGACACCCAGGGGGAGACAUUCACGUUCUGGGCCCUGCCAACCUCUCUGGUCCCUCUCUUCUGCCUCACACUCUUCGCUCUGCAGAACUGCUUGUAGUUUCCCACAUAGCCAUGCUAUUUGUGUCCCCACCCUUAUGCUGUUCCCUCUGCUUGGAAUGUCCUCCCCUCAGUUGUUUGUCUCGUAAAUCCUAUCCAGCCUUCCAGACAGCUUAGUGUAGACAUCCUCUGGAAACGUAUCCCUAAGCUCUUUCCUUUCCCCUCAACCCAAGGCUGGGUUGCCCCACUUCUGCGCUCCCACAGCACCUUCUGCAAACUUCUGUCACAGCACUUAUCCUUCACAUAGUUGUCUGUCACUCCCACUGACUGAGUUCCUGCAGAGCAAUUCUGUGUCACAUUCAUUUAUUUUAGGUCAUUUUAUUUUUUGGUAGAGAUGGGGGUUUCGCUCACGGCAACCUCCACCUCCCGGUUUCAAACCAUUCUCCUGUCUCACACCACCACUGCGCCCGGCCUGGAAUUAUCUUCUUACACCCCUCUCAGCUCAAACCUAACCAACUGGAAUUUUAAACAUUGUAGGAUCCACUCAGAAAAGGAACUAGAAAAAAAAUACUUUUUCUGUAUUCCCCUGGUCAUCUCUGAAGAAACUAUGUUUGUAAAAUUUA
Molecule: long non-coding RNA, 1259 nt
Filed under: Homo sapiens (human)
Lineage: Eukaryota; Metazoa; Chordata; Mammalia; Primates; Hominidae
Description: HSALNT0285805
Source: RNAcentral